Molecule: ribosomal RNA, 499 nt
Filed under: uncultured bacterium
Lineage: Bacteria
Description: bacterial SSU rRNA
Rfam family: Bacterial small subunit ribosomal RNA
Source: RNAcentral
GGCUAACGGCUGGCGGCGUGUCUUAGCCAUGCAAGUCGAGCGGACUUAUGGGGUAACUUAUAAGUCAGCGGCGGACGGCGGAGUAACACGUAGCUAACCUACCCUCUGGACGGGGAUAACCUACCGAAAGGUGGGCUAAUACCCGAUGUAGUCAUCCUGUAUAGGGGUGAUGAAAGGUGGGCUUCUGUUUACAAGCUCAUGCUGGAGGAGGGGGCUGCGGCCUAUCAGGUAGUUGGUAGGGUAAUAGCCUACCAAGCCGAUGACGGGUAGCCGGCCUGAGAGGGUGACCGGCCCGAGGGGCACUGAGAUACGGAUCCCACUCCUACGGGAGGCAGCAGGCUAGAAAUUUGGGCAAUGGGGGAAACCCUGACCCAGUGACGCCGCGUGCAGGAAGGAGCCCUUCGGGGUGUAAACUGCUGUCGUGUAGGGAGAAGGGUACUAAGGUGAACAAUCUUAGUACUUGACGGUACUACAGGAGGAAGCCCAGGCUAACCUCGUG